Molecule: long non-coding RNA, 1445 nt
Organism: Chinchilla lanigera (long-tailed chinchilla)
Lineage: Eukaryota; Metazoa; Chordata; Mammalia; Rodentia; Chinchillidae
Exons: 4
Source: RefSeq, a predicted model, not a curated record
GCACUCGAGUUCAAGUUUCAUCAGUGUGCUUCACUGCCCCUUAAAUUCACAUUAACUACCGAGAUUCAAAGAGCUGAACAGGUCUUCAUAAUUUAAAAACGCUAAGUUCCAUUUACUGCAAAGGAUACAUACUAUCAAAAGCAGUUACUAAUUCUACACAUUAGAUAAUUCACUAUACUUGGCAGAAGAGGAAAUCUGAGCAUUUAUUUUCUUAAACUGGUGCCUAAGUUGACAGGAAUGUCAAGUCAGAAGGAAAAACAUUUAAAACAUACAGAGUAAAUGUACAAUUGAAGGAAAGGACCGCUCUUUAUUCACACAUAAAGUCUACUCUGCCAUGAGCAGUUUCUGCACACCGCCCCAGGCUCUGGCUCGGGGGUUUCUGAGAAACGCGACAGAACUACUAUUCCCACGCACCUGACAGGGCAGUGAGCAGACCCCUCGUUGUGAUAAAGUCAAGGCUCCCAGCACAGGAGUUCCACCCUCACCCCGAUGUGGCUGUGGCACAUGCCCAUGUUUAUGGUCUAGACUGAAUAUCCAAGAAAUGCAUCCUUAUCACUACUGGGCACUAAGCUAACAACGUGACAGAGGUGUAUGUCUUUGUAAACAAGAACCAAAAUUCACCAGGCUCAAUAGGUAUAGACCCUAUGACAAGCUUUUCUCGUGCUGAAAUAAUGAUGCUAUAUCACCUAUCAUUUGUAUGACACCGGGUACAACCUCUUUUGCACCAAUGUCUUGUGUUAUUAUACCCACUUUAGAAACAGAAAAUAGACUCAGAGAAGUUACAGCCUUUGUCUGAGGAAGUGUGUGUCAGCCGGGCUUCCUGAUGCUGGACACAAUACCUGACAUCUGCCUUAAAGGAGCAGAGGUUUAAUUCGGCUCAUGUCUUAAGACGAUUCAGUCCAUGCAUGCUGGGCUACCCUGCAUAGAUGGACAAUGCACGGAAUAAACCAGGGGUACGGCUGCCCCAGGGACAUGUCUGCAGCCCUGCCCAUCGCUGCCCCUGGGGAUGGAGCAUCCAGAUCACUGCACAAAGUGCCCAGAUCUUCGUGGAGGAGUACUGGAGAUGGAACCCAGGGCAUUCACCCUGAGCGCAUCCCAGCCGUUGUGACUUCUGGAGACAAGACAUCAACUUGCCCAGGCUGGGCCCCAAGUUGCAUCCUCCUGCAUCAUCCUGCUGGAGUGCUGCUACUGCAGGCACAUGCCAUUGUGCCCAGCUCUCUUGCUGCUACUACUUCCUUGUGGGGAUGAAGAAUUCAGAUGUUUCGUGUACACAGCAAUUACCUCAGUGAAUGAAAAGGUGAAACAAUAUGUUAUCCGAGGAGCGUGGACCCCUGCAUUUCUCUCCGCCUCCCGACAGAAGCCUCUGCAGCUCCCCGUGUCCUCCCUCCUCUUUCUCCUUCCUCUAUGCAGUGAUUCAUGAUUUUUCUCCAUGCAGUAAAAAAUCA